AUGCUGACGUUUUCAACCUCAAAAAAGAAUGUCUAUGAUAGAAAAGCAUGGCAUACCUCAUAUACUUCUGAUUGCUUCAAUGUUUCACAUGAGAAAUCACAUAUUGGACCAGCAGUGAAUAUCAUGCAAACCAGCUCCUGCCUUACUUUCUUCCUAGCUCGGAAAAUAGUCUGCAAAAGGAUAAAAGCAUCUACCAUCUUGAGAAACUUGCGUCGUACAACCAGUCCUUUGAUAUGUGCUGAAAUUUUGACUUGA
Non-coding RNA from Vicia faba (fava bean), 255 nucleotides. The record is from the annotation of a GenBank genome assembly. Lineage: Eukaryota; Viridiplantae; Streptophyta; Magnoliopsida; Fabales; Fabaceae.